RNAcentral lists this ribosomal RNA (253 nucleotides) under uncultured bacterium. Its description in RNAcentral is "partial 16S ribosomal RNA". It matches the Rfam family "Bacterial small subunit ribosomal RNA", at positions 524 to 776 of the family's 1533-position model. The record is from RNAcentral.
UACGUAGGGUGCAAGCGUUGUCCGGAAUUAUUGGGCGUAAAGAGCUCGUAGGCGGCUUGUCGCGUCGGCUGUGGAAACUCGGGGCUCAACCCCGAGCCUGCAGUCGAUACGGGCAGGCUAGAGUCCGGCAGGGGAGACUGGAAUUCCUGGUGUAGCGGUGAAAUGCGCAGAUAUCAGGAGGAACACCGGUGGCGAAGGCGGGUCUCUGGGCCGGAACUGACGCUAAGGAGCGAAAGCGUGGGGAGCGAACAGG